RNAcentral lists this ribosomal RNA (460 nucleotides) under uncultured bacterium. RNAcentral's name for it is "partial 16S ribosomal RNA". It matches the Rfam family "Bacterial small subunit ribosomal RNA", at positions 338 to 795 of the family's 1533-position model. The record is from RNAcentral.
CCUACGGGUGGCAGCAGUGAGGAAUAUUGGUCAAUGGACGCAAGUCUGAACCAGCCAUGCCGCGUGCAGGAAGACGGCUCUAUGAGUUGUAAACUGCUUUUGUACGAGGGUAAACGCAGAUACGCGUAUCUGUCUGAAAGUAUCGUACGAAUAAGGAUCGGCUAACUCCGUGCCAGCAGCCGCGGUAAUACGGAGGAUUCAAGCGUUAUCCGGAUUUAUUGGGUUUAAAGGGUGCGUAGGCGGUCGGAUAAGGUAGAGGGGAAAUCCCGAGGCUCAACUUCGGAAUUGCCGCUGAUACUGUUCGGCUAGAGCGUAGUUGCGGUAGGCGGAAUGUAUGGUGUAUCGGUGACCUGCUUAGCGCUCAUACAGAACCCCGAUUGCGAAGGCAGCUUACCAAGCUACUUCUGACGUUGAGGCACGACCGCGUGGUGAGCACACAGGAUUAGAUACCCCAGUAGUC